ACCUUUACUUACCAGACCGUACGAAGAACACCAACACACAGUGAUUUAAACAACGGAAUUGAGAUAGAACCCAAAAAGGCAAAGAAAGAAAUUUCUUUUCAAAGAAUAGAAAAAGAACGUCAAACAGAGGGAAAUUUUUGGGAAAGAGAAAAGAGAGAAAAAAAAUUAAAAUAAAAAUUACUAACCCCAUUCCAUCCACUAACCACUUAUUCCAUAAAAUCCUACCCACUAACCAC
RNAcentral lists this long non-coding RNA (236 nucleotides) under Gossypium raimondii (Peruvian cotton). RNAcentral's name for it is "long non-coding RNA (GRAI_LNC007566)". Lineage: Eukaryota; Viridiplantae; Streptophyta; Magnoliopsida; Malvales; Malvaceae. The record is from RNAcentral.